RNAcentral lists this long non-coding RNA (258 nucleotides) under Callithrix jacchus (white-tufted-ear marmoset). RNAcentral's name for it is "lncRNA (ENSCJAG00000070649.1)". Lineage: Eukaryota; Metazoa; Chordata; Mammalia; Primates; Cebidae. The record is from RNAcentral.
AUUAAAUUUCUUUUGUGUGUCUCAGAGGGGGAGCCAGAUGUCCAAAUAGAAGCCUCCAGUAAUCAUCUCCCUUCAGGAACACCAAAUCAAACAACUAUCCGCACAAAAGAGCACCUUCAUAAGAACCAAAAAUCAAGUAAAACAAAAAUGCCGUGGAAACCUGUACUUUCAGAACAGAUGCCUUUAUAAUUGUGCUGCUGGAAAGAACGUGCUGUCAUGCUCUGCAUUAUGUCUCUUUUCCAUCUGGUUUCUGUCUGG